Molecule: long non-coding RNA, 254 nt
Organism: Lemur catta (Ring-tailed lemur)
Lineage: Eukaryota; Metazoa; Chordata; Mammalia; Primates; Lemuridae
Exons: 3
Source: RefSeq, a predicted model, not a curated record
AGGAGUAAAUUCUUAAUGUUCUGCCCAAGGAUAAUCUAGUUCUGGCCUCAGUAGCAGCAUCUACAAAGUGAUAAGGAGUUUGUGACCAUGACAGAAGACAGAACUUUCAGAAGACAUCUUGGAAGCUUACAGAACAGUUUCCCUCUCUUCCUGCUGACAGUAAUGCCAGAGACUGGAAGAUGGCAUUUUCUUAUAGUCAAGUCCUAAAAACAUUCUGCGAUGCAGAGUACAAUGAGAUGAAAGUCUGUUUUCCA